GGGUUGUGAGGUUAAGCGACUAAGCGUACACGGUGGAUGCCCUGGCAGUCAGAGGCGAUGAAGGACGUGCUAAUCUGCGAAAAGCGCCGGCGAGGUGAUAUGAACCCUUGACCCGGCGAUGUCCGAAUGGGGAAACCCAGUGUGUUCCGACACACUAUCGUUAACUGAAUACAUAGGUUAACGAGGCGAACCGGGGGAACUGAAACAUCUAAGUACCCCGAGGAAAAGAAAUCAACCGAGAUUCCCCCAGUAGCGGCGAGCGAACGGGGAGCAGCCCGGAGUCUGAAUCAGCUUGUGUGUUAGUGGAACGGUCUGGAAAGUCCGACGGUACAGGGUGAUAGUCCCGUACACGAAAAUGCACUUGCUGUGAACUCGAAGAGUAGGGCGGGACACGUGGUAUCCUGUCUGAAUAUGGGGGGACCAUCCUCCAAGGCUAAAUACUCCUGACUGACCGAUAGUGAACCAGUACCGUGAGGGAAAGGCGAAAAGAACCCCGGCGAGGGGAGUGAAAAAGAACCUGAAACCGUGUACGUACAAGCAGUGGGAGCACCUUCGGGUGUGACUGCGUACCUUUUGUAUAAUGGGUCAGCGACUUAUAUUCUGUAGCAAGGUUAACCGUAUAGGGGAGCCGAAGGGAAACCGAGUCUUAACUGGGCGUUAAGUUGCAGGGUAUAGACCCGAAACCCGGUGAUCUAGCCAUGGGCAGGUUGAAGGUUGGGUAACACUAACUGGAGGACCGAACCGACUAAUGUUGAAAAAUUAGCGGAUGACCUGUGGCUGGGGGUGAAAGGCCAAUCAAACCGGGAGAUAGCUGGUUCUCCCCGAAAGCUAUUUAGGUAGCGCCUCGUGAACUCAUCUUCGGGGGUAGAGCACUGUUUCGGCUAGGGGGCCAUCCCGGCUUACCAACCCGAUGCAAACUACGAAUACCGAAGAAUGUUAUCACGGGAGACACACGGCGGGUGCUAACGUCCGUCGUGAAGAGGGAAACAACCCAGACCGCCAGCUAAGGUCCCAAAGUCAUGGUUAAGUGGGAAACGAUGUGGGAAGGCACAGACAGCCAGGAUGUUGGCUUAGAAGCAGCCAUCAUUUAAAGAAAGCGUAAUAGCUCACUGGUCGAGUCGGCCUGCGCGGAAGAUGUAACGGGGCUAAACCAUGCACCGAAGCUGCGGCAGCGACACUAUGUGUUGUUGGGUAGGGGAGCGUUCUGUAAGCCGUUGAAGGUGUGCUGUGAGGCAUGCUGGAGGUAUCAGAAGUGCGAAUGCUGACAUAAGUAACGAUAAAGCGGGUGAAAAGCCCGCUCGCCGGAAGACCAAGGGUUCCUGUCCAACGUUAAUCGGGGCAGGGUGAGUCGACCCCUAAGGCGAGGCCGAAAGGCGUAGUCGAUGGGAAACAGGUUAAUAUUCCUGUACUUGGUGUUACUGCGAAGGGGGGACGGAGAAGGCUAUGUCAGCCGGGCGACGGUUGUCCCGGUUUAAGCAUGUAGGCGGAGGUUCCAGGUAAAUCCGGUACCUUUUAACGCUGAGGUGUGAUGACGAGGCACUACGGUGCUGAAGUGAUAAAUGCCCUGCUUCCAGGAAAAGCCUCUAAGCAUCAGGUAACACGAAAUCGUACCCCAAACCGACACAGGUGGUCAGGUAGAGAAUACCAAGGCGCUUGAGAGAACUCGGGUGAAGGAACUAGGCAAAAUGGUGCCGUAACUUCGGGAGAAGGCACGCUGAUAUGUAGGUGAAGUCCCUGCGGACGGAGCUGAAAUCAGUCGAAGAUACCAGCUGGCUGCAACUGUUUAUUAAAAACACAGCACUGUGCAAACACGAAAGUGGACGUAUACGGUGUGACGCCUGCCCGGUGCCGGAAGGUUAAUUGAUGGGGUUAGCGGCAACGCGAAGCUCUUGAUCGAAGCCCCGGUAAACGGCGGCCGUAACUAUAACGGUCCUAAGGUAGCGAAAUUCCUUGUCGGGUAAGUUCCGACCUGCACGAAUGGCGUAAUGAUGGCCAGGCUGUCUCCACCCGAGACUCAGUGAAAUUGAACUCGCUGUGAAGAUGCAGUGUACCCGCGGCAAGACGGAAAGACCCCGUGAACCUUUACUAUAGCUUGACACUGAACACUGGUCCUUGAUGUGUAGGAUAGGUGGGAGGCUUUGAAGCGUGGACGCCAGUCUGCGUGGAGCCAUCCUUGAAAUACCACCCUUUAAUGGCUGGUGUUCUAACGUAGACCCGUAAUCCGGGUUGCGGACAGUGUCUGGUGGGUAGUUUGACUGGGGCGGUCUCCUCCCAAAGAGUAACGGAGGAGCACGAAGGUUGGCUAAUCCUGGUCGGACAUCAGGAGGUUAGUGCAAUGGCAUAAGCCAGCUUGACUGCGAGCGUGACGGCGCGAGCAGGUGCGAAAGCAGGUCAUAGUGAUCCGGUGGUUCUGAAUGGAAGGGCCAUCGCUCAACGGAUAAAAGGUACUCCGGGGAUAACAGGCUGAUACCGCCCAAGAGUUCAUAUCGACGGCGGUGUUUGGCACCUCGAUGUCGGCUCAUCACAUCCUGGGGCUGAAGUAGGUCCCAAGGGUAUGGCUGUUCGCCAUUUAAAGUGGUACGCGAGCUGGGUUUAGAACGUCGUGAGACAGUUCGGUCCCUAUCUGCCGUGGGCGCUGGAGAAUUGAGGGGGGCUGCUCCUAGUACGAGAGGACCGGAGUGGACGCAUCACUGGUGUUCGGGUUGUCAUGCCAAUGGCACUGCCCGGUAGCUAAAUGCGGAAGAGAUAAGUGCUGAAAGCAUCUAAGCACGAAACUUGCCCCGAGAUGAGUUCUCCCUGAGACUUUAAGUCUCCUGAAGGAACGUUGAAGACGACGACGUUGAUAGGUCGGGUGUGUAAGCGCAGCGAUGCGUUGAGCUAACCGAUACUAAUGAACCGUGAGGCUUAACCUUACAACGCCGAAG
Molecule: ribosomal RNA, 2924 nt
Filed under: Enterobacter hormaechei subsp. oharae
Lineage: Bacteria; Pseudomonadati; Pseudomonadota; Gammaproteobacteria; Enterobacterales; Enterobacteriaceae
Description: bacterial LSU rRNA
Rfam family: Bacterial large subunit ribosomal RNA
Source: RNAcentral